UAACUAACUGUUAAAAGUCCAAAAUUGG
Molecule: small RNA, 28 nt
Filed under: Bombyx mori (domestic silkworm)
Lineage: Eukaryota; Metazoa; Arthropoda; Insecta; Lepidoptera; Bombycidae
Description: ovarian small RNA-18943
Source: RNAcentral